This is a long non-coding RNA of Gallus gallus (chicken), 1182 nucleotides long. Lineage: Eukaryota; Metazoa; Chordata; Aves; Galliformes; Phasianidae. The record is from Ensembl.
AGCACAAGUAAAUAUGGGAAUGUUAUGAUGAAAAUCUCAGUUAUUUCUAAUUGAUGAAAAUACCCUGGUGUUUAUACAAAGCUACACAGUGACUCACAAUGAAAUGAAGUCAGCAAAAUACCAGACGUUUUUACAUCCAAAACAGAGACAAGUGCCAUAUGUUCAUAAAAUAGUUUUCUCCUUAGUAAAUGUUUAUGAAGAAAAUGAAUGGACAAAUUCCAAAAGGAGAAACUUGGGUAAUAUUAUUUUUAGACAACAGAACUAUUUUUUCCAUUAAGAUUUUUUCUUCUCAUUUACGUAUUUUCAUUGCAAAUCAGAUGACACAAAAGGGUAUCUAAUACUCAUACAAAUAUCUUUAAUAUUCCUUGGUGCUUUACUACCACUGCAGCAAAAAUGUAGGAAAAUGUUUUCCUCGCAGACCAGAAAACCCUAACUCUUGCUGUUUGCUGGAACCAGAACUGGGAGCCUGUGGUCAGAUCGAGAUGUACCUGAAUAGAUGUAGGGCUUGGUGGAGACUUGUGUGGAAGACACUAAUUACCUCAAAGUCUUAGAAAUCUCCUCCACAAGUCGACAUGGCCACUUUUCCAAGAAGCAAAGCAGUUUUGCAAGAAACUUCAACAAGAGGACUUUCUAGCUACAGCUAUGGGUCAAUUGCUUGCAAGGAUUGCACAAGCAGAGAGAAGGGAAGAGACAAGAUAAAAAAGAUAACAAAACAGUCAUUUCACUUUAAUCAAAUCCUUUCUUGAGGCCUGAGAAACUUUCUAUUACUGUGUGCAUGUUUGUUUGUUUUUUUUUUUAAUUUCCAUUUCCAUUUGCUUGUACACUUGUGACUUGCAGCUGACACUACAAGCAGUACUGCCAAAACACCAUGGGAAACACCAUACCUUCUAUUUUUCUGACCGCACAGUAAUAUCCUGAAGAAGAAACAAACUGGUUUUCAUGAAAGUUUCUAUCUGAGGCCAGGCUGGGUCACAUACUAGUUUGCCCUGUUGCCAGCACCAGAUAAAGAAGAAAAAGAGUAAGCCUUUCUGCAGGGUGAGGAGAAAUUCAGGGGUAAUUCUCAAAUUUAUGAUUGGCCAUAAAAGUACUUUUUCACUUUUGCUUUUAGGUACAGCUUACAAUGGCUGCUCAUCUACUUUCAGGCAUAGUAGUGGGUGGUCACCACAGUCAGGUCAUGGGUAG